GCCACGGAGCGCGCAGCCUUCCCUGAUGUGUCACCAGCACGUGGAGCCAAGUCGCGCCGAGAGAGCCAACGAGAGGAACCCCGCAACUUUCGAGGGGCCCUGCUGCAGCGCACACGUCCUCCCCGGCGCGGCGGGGGUCCCGCGGCGGUCCCCAGGUCCCUGUGCAGGUCUAGAGAGGCCGCGGAUCCUCGGCCAGGCACGCACGGAGCUACGGGAACAUCGGGGCGCGCGGGCCGGGCUGCGGCCACCGUGCGGGAGGAAGCAGCUUGGGUUCCGAGGCGCCGCGGUUCGGUCCCGCCUCGCCGGGCUGGGCGCAGGAUCUCGUGUAGCCAAGAUUGGCUUUAAACUCCUGGUCCUUCUGCCUCUGCCUCCUAAGUACUGAGAUUGUAGAUAGUCAAGCUACUACCCUGGGCCUUUCCAACAUUUUGUGACAUGCUCCUCUUCCCUACCACUACCAAGCCACAGAGAUGUCACCAAAAGUCAAAGCCAGCUGAGGCUGGACUGGUGGCUUGUCCUCGGAUGGACAGAUGAAUGAGCAGUAAGCAUCAUGGGGCCUGCUACAGCAAGUCACCCAGUAUCUCGAGGACCUCACGUCAGCAGGGGACAGUCAUCUUCAAGAUGUCUUCAGGAGCCAGCUUGGAAGCACUCAUCAGCGACAAGAUGGUGUGGGUGCUUGGUGUACGCUGGACCACCAUGACUGUCCCGCCAGCCCUGGGUCUGUGGACUCUGUGCCUCCAGCUCCGCUAGAGAUGGGUUUGUUCAGGAGCUAACUGCUGGCAUCUCACCGGGUAAAGGCUAGACAGGAUUUGCUCUUGCUGGUGAGAGAUGAGUGAGACUCUCACACUUGGGAUGGACGGGUGACAGCUGUUCCUUCAGCUCUAACAGCUUUGCUGGCUUUUGCUAACUUCGGUCACCACCUACCUCCCCUGGAGCCUCUUUGCCGGUCCCUGCCCCAAACCUCCUCGUUCCCUCCCAUGGUCCCCAUUCUUUACCACAGUGCAGGGCUGGGGAGAUGCUUGUCUUGUCGCGGGUCCCAUCCUGAACACGCGGCGGCUCACCUGUGAGCUCACAUGGAGAGGCAGAGACGGUUCUGUGCGACCAGCCAGCCACCUGGUCUAGCCAAAUCCAGGUUCAGUGAGAGACCCUGUCAAAGAAUAAGGUGGAGAGCGAUUGAGGAAGGCACCCUGAGGUGGGCCUCUGGCCUCCACACACAUGAGCACGAACAUACACACACAAAGACAACAUACAUCAGGUGGGUUUUUUGUUGUUUGUUUUUUCAAGAGAGGGUCUCACUGUGUAGACCAGGCUGGCCUCCAACUCACAGGGAUCCACCUGCCUCUGCUUCCCAAGUGCGUUCAAAUACCAUAGAGCAUUUGAAAACACGAGACUUGCUCUCAAAUGCUGUCGGGCAUGCAUCGAAGGGAGGAACAGGGCUCAUAAUGCCCGUGCCUGACUUGUCUGUUGUGAGCCCUGUCUUCACACCUUCCUUCUGGCCCCACCCCGUUAACAGGAUGGGGACUUUCAUCGGUGGGGGAGGGGCACAUGCUGUGGGGCACCCAUGGGGGUCAGAGGACUACCUGUAGGUCUCCAGGGAUCAAACUUAGGCCAUCAGGCUUGGUGGUCAGUGCCUUUACUUGCCGAACCAUCUUGCUGGCGCCUUUUAAAAGUGUAUUGCUGUUUCUCUUUUCUUCUUCAUAGGGGUUCCUGGGAUUGAGCUCAGGUUUGUCAACCUUACAGGGCAAGCACCUGUGAGCCAGAGAGGGCCGUUUUAUGGGAGCCAGGCCUCUCACCCAGUGAGCCACAGGGCUGUGCCUUCAGGAGCCCGGAUUUCUUUUUCUUUCUUUUCUUUUUCCUCAAGGAGGAGGUGGCUAUGCAGGGCCACUGCUGCCUUCCAGCCAGGAACUCGGGAGAUCUUGCGAUCUUGCUGGAGGGAAUCUGAGGUGAGGUCCUCAGUGACGAUGUCCUUGACAUGAUAGCUGUCAGGGCUUUUUGACCCUUGAAUCACUUAAGGCAGUGGUUCUCAACCUUCCUCAUGCUGUGACCCUUCAAUACAGUUCCCCAUGUUGGGGUGACGCCCCCCCCCCACCAUAAAAUGUUUUCGUUGCUACUUCAUAACUGUCAUUUUGCUACUGUAAAUACACAGGGUAUCUGAUAUGGGACCCCCAAAGGGGUUGUAACCCACAGGUUGAGAACCGCUGACUUAAGGAGUGAUAGGGGCCUGUGACGCAAGCCAGAUCAGAGUUGUAGGGAUCAAGAGGAACCUGGGGUAGGUACCUUGGCUUGCUGGUGGCUUUUUCUUGCUUGCCUUUGUGUUCUGUUUAGCAGCCAGGAGGAACUCUCAGGCUACAAGCCCGCCAGAGGGGAAGGAAGAUGUUCCCUCCAACUCUGCUGGGGAGAACCCCUUGGAGGAUGGGACCUCUUGCCUCUGGCAGGCUAAGGUGAUCAGGGUUCUUCCUGGGGACCCAGCCAAGAAACGGCAGAGCCGUGAUUCACAUCUGCAGUUCUGACUCCAAGAUCAGCGGCAUUUCUGUAAUAAUAGUGAUAGUCAUUUUUAGUAUAUAAGAAGCCUAGUACAUUUUUAAAUAUGUUUGUGUUUGCCUGUAUGUAUGUAUGUAUGUGUGCCAUGUGCAUGCUGGUGCUCACAGAGGCCAGAAGAGACAGUCAAGACCCUGGGAACCAGAGUUAUAGGUGACUGUAAGCUGCCCAAUGUGGGUGCUGGAAACGGAACACCUCUCCAGCCCCCUAGUGUAGUACUGACUAGCAACCACUCGAUCGUAAUGUCCAGAGGUGGGUGGGAGCAGGUGUCUGACCCACAGGAGGGUGGGUCACUUCCGUUAACUUCCAGAGGGCGAGUGUGCACGGGCCUGGAUCCUCGGUUGCCAUUCAGUCGGUCACACUAUUACCAAGCUCUAGAUAGGGUACAGUCAUCUGUUGCUGGGUGACAGCUGCCGUUUCUCUGCUUAGGGACAACCAGGAAGGAACAUAGCUGUGCUUGGGGCUUGUGUGGAGGGAAAGCCCCUGGUGCUGGGGUGUCAUGGUCCUUGGCAGGCUGUCCCUUCUUCACUUCCAAGUAGCCCCAGAAGCACAGCCUCGGGACUAGCUGAGUUGGCCGUCAGUACAGUGAGCUGACCAUGGAUGCAUUGUUAGCUCCAGGAAGUGGUUAGCUGUUUUCCAGAAGGUCUGCAGAGCCGGACAGCCAGCCUGCCUGCCUUGGAAUUGGCGGAUGGGAGUCGAGAACACCGCUUUCCUGGAGCCCCUGGGCUCUGGGCCAGGCCCUCAGGCUUCCUUUAAAAGUGUGUGGGGGGGGGCGGCCCCGAGUGAGCGAGUGAGCCAUUCUUGCCCAGCUUGGCACAGGCCCUCUCCCCUCCUCAGUCUGCCUCAUGCCCUUCUCUCCACCCAACCGCCUCUGCAACAGAGUGCACACUCUUGGCAAUGGCGUCCACGAAGCCUGCUUUCCAGAAGAAAAGGGCUGCGCAGGCCAACUCGGCCAACACCUCAGUGGAGGAGUUACACAGCAUGGGCUCUGGCCUGGGUAGUGGGGCUAAGAGGAAGCCCCCGGUUGCCUUGUCAGACCCGAGCCACAAACCCCUGCCACAGUGGAAGCAAGAGCUCUGAGCGCAGGUCCUGGGGUCUGAUCAAGGGCAGCCUUGGGGAGGCUUGGGUCCUCUCUGGGCCUGUUGCCCAUUUGAUAGCUGCAGAGUCCUCUGUAGACUGUUUUGCAUAUAGAUCUGACACUGUUUCUGCCUUUCUUUUCCCUUGCAGGACACUUGUGCGGGAAAUGCUGGUCCCUGGGAGGGUCAUUGCACUGCCUGACCCGGAGGUGACGUCUGAGUCUUCAUACGGUGGAUGGCGUCUUCUGCUGUUGAUCCUGCAAGAUGAUCUUUCCUGACAGUUUCUUAUCUGGCCUCUGGCCCUGCCUGAACCGGGGGCUGAUGACUCUGGAUUGAGGGGCAGUCCUUGCCUCUGCCCUGGGUUCCCUGAGGUUUGGGUCACUGAAGCCCAGGGCCUAAGGAGGUAUCCUUCCCCUGGGAGUUUCAAGUUCAGACUCCCACAGCUACAGGGCUCUGCCUUAGGCCCGUGGCUUCUGCACAGCUCCUCCUUGCCCUGCCAAAUGUCUUGGGGACAGGCACCCAGCAGCUUCCGGGUCUGCCUGACUGCUGGAGAAGCAAUACUAACCUGCCAUCCUAUUUUUAUUUUUUGGUCCUAGAGUUUGAACUCAGGGCUUUAGACAUACUAGGCAAGUGCUCUAUCACUGAGGUACAUGCCCAGCCCCUUUUUUUGAGACAGAAUCUUGCUAUGUAGUCCAGCGUGGGCUUGAAUUCAUAAUCCUUUUUGCCUCCAUCUCCAGAGUGCUAGCAUUAUAGCUGUGUACCACCAUGCCCAUCUGGCUUUCCUGUUUUGACUCCUGUGUCGGGAGAGCAACCCUGGAUGGAGGUGGGGUCCAUUCCCCAGGGCUUGGCCAUUGCAGAGCUGUCUAGACAUAGGAAUGGGUAAGAGCAUGGUACACUGGAUAGGUAGAGGGAUGGGUUAGUUUUCCACGGACCUUGUUUCUGUUGAGAUAUUGUUUACUCUGUUUCCCCAGGGUUCAGGUAGGGCCAGCACCAUCCCUGGCUUUAGGGGUAGGCAUGUGUUCCAGGCCUAGACAAAGACUGCUGAGUUCCCACUCUCCCCAGUGGGACUUCAGCUGCAUCUUUUCAUGGGAGUUAAGUUGACAAGAUGUCAGCUUGGAAUUGCUGGUGACCAACUGAUGCAGCUGAGGAUGAAACCAACAAAGAAAGAAAGAAAACACAGAUUAUGCCAUGUGGACUUAUUCCUUGCUACCCAGCAAGUCCCUGAAGCCAACAGUUGGACUGACCUGAUUAUAUGAGCCAAUGUAUUUUUUCUAAAACGAACUCAUCUUGGGUUUGUGUUACAGAAGGGCUCCUAGUAUAGGUUGUGGUUUCCUACCUUCCUUCCUCAGAACAGCGUUGUUGAGCUGUUCCUUCCUUUACACGCAACAAAAUUCACCAGGGUUAAGUGUACGAUUCCUAGUUUUUUCAGGAACAACACACCCUUGUAACUGUCACCAUCAGACUGGAAUAAUUGUUACCUGCCCUAAAAGCUCCAUCGAUCCCUUGACGGUCAGCCCUCCAGCCGUGGCCCGCCACUGACCUGUUUUCCUGGUGAUUCUUGUCUUCUCCGGAUGGUCACACGGUGUCUGUUACGUGUCUAGUUUCUCUUAGUGUGUUUUCAUGAUUCAUCCUUCCAUGUGCAUCAGGAUCCAUCCACUCUGUUGUAGGCCGGGCAGCAGCAUGCCAUGUGGGUACAACCACCGUUUGUUUAACCAUCUGGCAUAUGAAGGCUGGUUCCAGAUUUUGACUGAUAUGAAUAAAGCUGUUCUGCAUGUUCA
Peromyscus californicus insignis is the source of this 5389-nucleotide long non-coding RNA. RefSeq lists it as uncharacterized. The transcript has 2 exons. NCBI's taxonomy places the organism in Eukaryota, Metazoa, Chordata, Mammalia, Rodentia, Cricetidae. The record is from RefSeq and is a predicted model, not a curated record.